UCUAAAAACUGCCUACUUUUA
RNAcentral lists this non-coding RNA (21 nucleotides) under Arabidopsis thaliana (thale cress). Lineage: Eukaryota; Viridiplantae; Streptophyta; Magnoliopsida; Brassicales; Brassicaceae. The record is from RNAcentral.